Long non-coding RNA from Mustela lutreola (European mink), 5478 nucleotides. RefSeq lists it as uncharacterized. NCBI's taxonomy places the organism in Eukaryota, Metazoa, Chordata, Mammalia, Carnivora, Mustelidae. The transcript is spliced from 3 exons. The record is from RefSeq and is a predicted model, not a curated record.
AGAGAGGGAGAAGCAGGCUCUCCGCUGAGCAGAGACCCUGAUGUGGGGCUUGAUCCCAGAACCCUGGGAUCAUGACCUGAGCGGAAGGCAGAGGCUUAACCCACUGAGCCACCCAGGUGCCCCUAUAAUUUGAUUUUUUAAUAAUGCUGUGUUUAGCAACCAGGUGUCUAAAUUCCUGAAGACAUAGCAAAGUCCACAUGAGCUCUGGCACGCCCUGGGGUGUGGGUGCGGCUGUGGGAAGACCAUCCUGAGGCUGGGGGUGAGCCCUGGUUGCAGGACGGAGCUGCUGAGGGGUCGGCCAGUGGGUGCGCCUCUGGAGACAGGAGGGAAGCUGGGCCCGGGGCCUCAGGCCUGGCUCCCGGUUUCUGCUGGGUGGGGACUUGGGGCCUCCUCUGCUGCUUGGUGACUCACUGGGUCCAUAGCGAGAUCUAGGUCACUCACUUUCUCGUGACUCACAGGUUGGCUGCUGCUGUCUCAGGCUACUUCGCAUCGGAGGGACAUGGUUUACUGCUGACUGUCCCGGUGCCUCUCGGAGGCCCCAGUGCCUCUGUACCAUCUGGCCAGCUCCUAACAAGAGCAGGACAGGUCUGCAUAGGCCAACUUUCUGAGGACGUGAGGACUGCUUAGGAAUGAGCUGUCCCUGGCCAUGAGGCCCCGAGCAAGGUGGGGCCAGGAGUACCAGGACUAGGAACCAAGAGCUGCAGACAUUCUGAUGCCAUCACAGGCCACUUGCUGGCCACCAGCCUCCUCCCUAUUCAUCCGUGUUUCUACAGCUCUCCUGUGCACCUGCUGGGGUCCCUUUCCCCUUGGAACAUGAACGGGCACACUGAGGGACAGACUACACUCCUAACCGAAUCCUCCUGGCCACAGGUGGCCAGUGCCGUGGGGCGGGGGCACAUCCCUGGGCAGCCUGGUGCAACCCUGAGACCUGCCGUGGGUACAGCCCUGACUCCCUCUCCUCAGCCUGAAGAAGGAAACGGCUGGGAUUGGCGCAGGCAGCCGCGGGGACAGGGCUCCUGUGUCGCAGGGGAGGGCCGCUCUCUGGGUUACCGUGUCUCCGUGGGAAGGCCGCCUCAGCCCAUCACUGGGGUGGAAUGCUCUCGUCCCAUUGAGACUCCUGGACCCUGCUCCAGGCCCCAUGCUCUGGAAUUCUCCAUUUAGAGAUUGUCUGAUUGGCUUCCAUCACCCCUUCGACUACAAGCUCAGGAAGGAAGGCCCCGUGCAUUCUCUCCGUCAUGGAUCAUUCCCCGUGGAACGGCCCAGCCCCCUCUGCCGCCCCCGCCCCAGCGUCUCUCUGUGGUCCAUUUGCUUGGCUGUUGGGGUCGCUCCUUCUUCCUCUUGAGGCUUCUCUCCGCAGACCCCCUUCCACUGACGCCCACAGCCCGAUCUCCACAGCGAGCCUCCUUUCCCUGAGGAAGCGGCUGGAGCCCUCAGAGCUGAGGCUCUGCUGCAAAGCGGUGGACGGUCCUUCAGGAGCCGCGGCUGAGCGUGGGAGGCCUGCUGGAAGCCAUCUGCGGCCGGUCCAGGCCGAGAGACCCUGCCCCCUGACCGCAGCUUUCCGCGGAAGUCGAAUGCUUCAUGGGAUGAUGCCCAGACUGGGCUGUGGUUUGGAAAUGGUUUGGGAAACUGGGGGAGGGUGGCCGACUUGUGACGAUUUCGGAGUCUGGUUAUCUGAGUUUUGUCCUUUGGGCAGAAGCCAGGAGACUGCCCUGCCUGCUCUGCUGCAGCCACGGUUCUGGAAGUCACGCCCGGGAGGGGCACCGAGCCCCCCCAUCUCAGCUCAGCCCACCCAGGCCAGUGGGUGCAGGCAGAGCGGCCCCCUGAGGGUCGCCUCACCAGCUGCCCCUCACCCAGCACAAAACUUGCCACAGGCUCACCUCCUGGUCCCCUCUGGGCAUUCUCCCUCCCCGCGCCCCGGCUGGAACUCCGUCUCUAGGACAACUAAAUCGGCCCUUUCUCUCCCCCUUGUAGCCUGCACCACUGUACCGACUCCACACCCUUCGCUGUGGGACUGACUGCUCGGCCCUGGACUUACCCGCGCCUGGAGCCCUGGUUGUCUGAUCUCUCGUCCCGGGCUGCAGGCCACGGGCCACGAUGGGAGUACUCAGGCUGGCAGCCCAGGGAAGGUUAUUUGAUGCUCAAGAUGGGACUCCCGCCUCCACCUCGCCCUUGGACCCUGAAGGAAAGACCGUUUCAAAGGCGGGCAGGCUCCGGAGGCGGCCAGUCCACACCCAGGAGGAGCGCGCGGGGGCUCCCACCUGUGCAGCACCUCGAAGCCGGGCUGCUGCUGGGGGCCCUUGCGACGCCAACCCUCACCGCACAAAACUGAAUCGCAGCCCCUCGGGUCACGCGGUUGGUGGAAAUCUCCGCAAACCCUUCCUUGUCAGAGUGUGUUCAAAUCCGCAAAGCCACUGUUUCUGCUGAGCCCGCGGUCUCCCAGGGACUCCAAACAGCCUCAUUUCCUGGGGUGGACGGGGACCGUCUAUGCAGCCCACUCUGCCUUGAGAGCAUCCGCCUUCUUUAAAUGAGUGUUCUCUUUUGCUGGCCUUUUUAAACAUUUAUUUAUUUUUUUAAAAGAUUUUAUUUAUUUAUUUGACAGAGAGAAAUCACAAGUAGAUGGAGAGGCAGGCAGAGAGAGAGAGAGGGAAGCAGGCUCCCCCCUGAGCAGAGAGCCCGAUGCGGGACUCGAUCCCAGGACCCUGAGAUCAUGACCUGAGCCGAAGGCAGCGGCUUAACCCACUGAGCCACCCAGGUGCCCCUAAACAUUUAUUUUUAAAUCUUCGUGCAACAACACGUGCCUGAAACUGUGUGACCCCCACCUCAGGGCAGAGAACAGUCCCCCCAGCCCCCACCUUCCUGGUGCUUCGCAGCAAAGAGUGCCCCCCACCUGGCAACCAUGGACCUGGUCCCCACGGCCUGGCCCCACCAGAGCCCAGCUUCUCCCGCUCAGCCUGUCCCCCGGCUGUUGGCGUGGGCUGUGCCGAAGCCCAGAGCUGCGCAGAGACAUCAGGGCUCUCAGUUUUUGGUGGUUAUGAGCGCUGCUGCCGUGAACCUUCAUGUCCAAGUUUUUGCUGUAAACUCAGGUUUUAAUUUCUUUAUUAAUCCCUAGGAGGGGCUGUCCCAAACUGUGUCCCACCAGCCAUGGGCGAGGGUUCCGGCCACCCUGCGACCCAAGCCUGGGUGCUGUCAGAGGCUUUCCAGUUGUUUGUUCUUGACUUACCCUAUUCUGUGUGGUGCAUGGUGCUAACUCAUGGGACUUUAAUUUGCAUUUUCUGAUGACCAGUGGCGUCGGACACCUUUUCCUGGGCUCGCCUGCAACCCUGUUGUUCCCUGGUGACCGCUCCUUUUAGUUGGGUUGUUUGCUUUCUUAUUCUGAGUUUUGAGAGUUCUUUGUGUAACCUGCACCCGUCCUUUGUCGGGGGGUGUCUUAUGGUCCUUCUGUCUCAGUCUGUGACUUGCUGUUCUGAUUUCCUAAUAGUGUCUUUCAGAGAGCAACGUGUUCCAUUUCGAUGGAGUCCGGCGUGUUGGUUCCCACUUUCAUCGGUCCUGCUUUCAGUGCUCUGUGCAGGGCUCUUCAUCGGACACAAGGUCGUACAGACACGAGGUCGUACGCACACGAGUCGUGCAGACACGAGGUCGUACAGACACGAGUCGUGCAGACACGAGGUCGUACGCACACGAGUCGUGCAGACACGAGGUUGUACGGACACGAGGUCGUACGGACACGAGGUCGUAUGGACACGAGUCGUGCAGACACGAGGUCGUACGGGCUGCCUCGUUUUCUGCUGAGGAUUGUGCACAGGUCCAGGGGCGUGACCCACUGUGAGUUCCCUGCGUGGGGGUGGUGCCCUUUGUUCUCUUUCUGCGCGGGACGACCAGAUGCCCAGCACCACUUUCUGGAGACACGUCCUUUCUCCCCCGAAAUGUGUUUCCGCUUUACCAAAGGUCCCAGUCUCUCAGCUGGGGAUAGGAGCCCAGGGACAAGGUGGUGGGGUUCCCGUGAUGGCCACGUCAAGGCCCAGUUGUAUGUCCCCUUCCUGGGUCAGCAGAAGGUUGUCUGACCCUUCAUGGCCUCUAGGGAUGAGCGACCUGGGGGUCUACCGGCUUCGCGGGCCUCCCACGACGGGUUUGCCUGGAACCUCUGAGUCCCACGACUGGUACUGGGACCAGGACACCGGAGUAGCUAUCCUGUCUUCCCGCUCUACUGUCCUCGUGAGCCCAGCCCCUCUGCGCGGGGGUCCCCCUGGGUCUGCAUCCAAGCCACGGGCCCCUCGUUCAUGAGGCUCUCCCUAAGCUGUCACUGCCAACCUGGAGCCUGGCCCUGACCCUGACCCAGCCGGGGGUGGGGUGGAGCCGGCACCAGGCCCGUGCACCCCCAGCCACACCGGCCGAGUCCCCAGCGAGCCUCCCUAGACUGUGCCCAGCAUGGGCGGUUCAUCCCGCUGGUCACUGCUGGGUCCCCCCUGGUCACACACAGGCUGUGUUGUCGGUGCUGUGAGCACGAUCUCUCCGCCACCGCAGCCUGGCCCACCUGGCUGGGGAUCCUGAGUGCUGGCCUUCCUCAGGGAGCUGGGGCACCCGGUGGCCCUGGCCCACCUCCUUGCCAGCCUGGCUCUAGGUGGAGCCCAUCCUUCCUGAUGGUCCUGUGUUUCCUCAUGAUGGGAGGUUUCCUGGAAUGUAGGACUUUCACAUCACCUCCAAAAUUCAGGUGCAAUCCUGGGUGUACCUGGGCAACCCCCAGAUCGGGAGACUCUCCGGGAAGUAUCGCUGACCUCCACAGCUCGCCCCACCUCCGAGUGGCCGUGUCCCCCGUUCCAUCACCACCCAUCGGUUCUACCCAUGCUGGGACCUCCUGUAUGAAGUCCUGCCAUGGGUCGCGCGGUUCCCACUGCUCAGCACCAUGGUUCGGGCACCGGCUGUGCUGUGUGUGUCUGCGGUCCAGCCUCCGAAUGGUUCUGUGGUUCUGUGGUUCCAACGUCCGGCCACACCUCAGCUCAUGUGUCACCCUGUUCUCGGUGUCCGGCCGCAGUGAAUGCUCGUGCGAUCCUCGCGUGGGCACGAGCACUGGCUUCCAGUGUGUGAUGCCCAGGAGCGGGCCUGUAGCAUCCUAGGGACCCCCAGCAAUGUCUGGGCAUCCGGUGGUUCCAACACUGGUUUCACUGCAAUCCCUUGGGCGGAUGUGUAGUGAUGCCUUAUCAUGGUUUAAUGUGUAAUUUCUUGAUAAAUAAUGGAACGAAGCACUUUUCAGAUGGUUAUGAGCCUUUUGAAUAACUUUUUUGGUGGCUUAAACCAACACAAAUUUAUUUUCUUACAUCUCUUUAGGUUACAAAUCCAGCAAGCGUGUCGCCAGGCCAAGAUCAAGGUGUUGAUGGGGCUGUGCCCGUUCUGAAGCUCUAGGGAAGAAAAUCCGUGUCCUUGCCUUUUCUGGCCUCUGGAGGCUGCCGUAUUCCUGAGCUCCGGCUCCUUUGUUUCCUCCUU